GGAAAAGGGCCGGCUUCCCCAUGUUGUCUUCAUUUCCUUUCUUCUCUUAGGAAACACCUCUGAAUGGCCCCACUGCUUCAUAACAGUGCCAUGUGUUUGGGACCAAGAUUUGAACAUACGUGCUUUUGGGAGACUUUAAACUAUGGCACCUGGAUAACUGGAACUACAGAAAGUAAAACCUCAGUUUUGGAUGGAAUUGUGGUUACUUCUACUUUCGUGGUCAACUCUGCCUUUGGAUCGCCUUGCACCCAAGGAGCAUGCCCAGAGGAUGUAAACGAGAGCUCUAGGCCUUUGCCUGGCUGAAUGCACAGGGCCCUCGGCUGAUGCUGGCGCAUGCGCUUUUCACUUCCCUGGCCUGGAGAAUUCUGCAAGGUCCACAGAUUAGCGGCGGCCAGGAAGUCAAAGGCUGAAAGGAUGGUUGACUGGCUCAGUGAAUGAAGCUCUGGACAUUACAUUAUCUCUGGCUCGGAGCAUACGGAAUCAGUCCUGCAGCUAUCAAAGGGGCGGGGAGAGAAUCUUCCACAAGCUUGGCUUGGCCGAUCUGUGUGUGCUGAACCAAAAAGCAAACUGAACAAAGACAUCUAAAUUUACAGCUCCAGUUAAAGACCUGGGAGGCUUAUCCAGUAUAGAGAAAGCACCAUUGAAAUUCACUUCUCUGCACAGUUUAGUGAGUGUUUAUUCCAGAAUAUAAAAAUAUUUUAUAUAUGUCUAUCUUUAUCUCUCUUAACCUCUAUAAACCUAUAUAUCACGAUAUGUAUUUAUAGAUUUAUUCUUGUGCCCCAACUUGACUGGU
Chinchilla lanigera (long-tailed chinchilla) is the source of this 793-nucleotide long non-coding RNA. The record is from Ensembl. Lineage: Eukaryota; Metazoa; Chordata; Mammalia; Rodentia; Chinchillidae.